Molecule: ribosomal RNA, 585 nt
Filed under: uncultured bacterium
Lineage: Bacteria
Description: partial 16S ribosomal RNA
Rfam family: Bacterial small subunit ribosomal RNA
Source: RNAcentral
UGGGGAAUUUUGGACAAUGGGCGAAAGCCUGAUCCAGCAAUGCCGCGUGUGUGAAGAAGGCCUUCGGGUUGUAAAGCACUUUUGUCCGGAAAGAAAUCCUUGGCUCUAAUACAGCCGGGGGAUGACGGUACCGGAAGAAUAAGCACCGGCUAACUACGUGCCAGCAGCCGCGGUAAUACGUAGGGUGCAAGCGUUAAUCGGAAUUACUGGGCGUAAAGCGUGCGCAGGCGGUUUGCUAAGACCGAUGUGAAAUCCCCGGGCUCAACCUGGGAACUGCAUUGGUGACUGGCAGGCUAGAGUAUGGCAGAGGGGGGUAGAAUUCCACGUGUAGCAGUGAAAUGCGUAGAGAUGUGGAGGAAUACCGAUGGCGAAGGCAGCCCCCUGGGCCAAUACUGACGCUCAUGCACGAAAGCGUGGGGAGCAAACAGGAUUAGAUACCCUGGUAGUCCACGCCCUAAACGAUGUCAACUAGUUGUUGGGGACUCAUUUCCUUAGUAACGUAGCUAACGCGUGAAGUUGACCGCCUGGGGAGUACGGUCGCAAGAUUAAAACUCAAAGGAAUUGACGGGGUCAUAGCUGUUUCCU